This is a long non-coding RNA of Oxyura jamaicensis (ruddy duck), 3932 nucleotides long. RefSeq lists it as uncharacterized. The record is from RefSeq and is a predicted model, not a curated record. NCBI's taxonomy places the organism in Eukaryota, Metazoa, Chordata, Aves, Anseriformes, Anatidae. The transcript has 2 exons.
GUUCCUGAGAGCUUCAAGUGUGUGACUCAGGAGAUUCUGGGUUUGCUUUGCAGCUUUCUGUAACCCCAGUCAUCUCCGUCCCGAACCGGAGAGGACCUCAUUUCCUGCUCAGAGCUCUGCCAACCACAAGGUCUUUUAAUAAGGCUGCCAGGGGAGCCGGGCUGCGGGAAGGACAGUCAGUGUUUGUCACCAGGGAAUGAGCUGGCAUCAUAGCUCCCAUCUGAGUCAACAACCUGGCUAGCCUUGAGCAUGACUUCAUAAAUCAUGGCAUCUAAUUGAAAAGCACAUACUUAUAUACACAGGGCUGCUCAAAAAGAAUCCAAAAAAAAAAAAAAAAAGUAACAAACACUUCUGUUCUUCCCACUAGCCUGUUCAUCAGUCACCUGAUUGUUUCAACUUGCAUUAUUUCACGCGGGAAAAAAAAAAAAAAGGGAAAAUGUAAAACCAUCUUGUAUAGCCACAAUAAAAGUGCAAAUGCAAAAAUUCAUCUCUUAAUGAGAGGCUUAGCCUUUUUCUAACACAACCCUAAUAAUAGGAAAACAAUUUUUAAAUGUUUUUAAUUUAAAUUGUUUUCAUGGUUAAUUCAAAAUCACUGAAUAAUAUUAUCAUGUGUCUAUGUAUCUAUUUGGCAUUGAGGUAUAUGAUAUUUCAAAGCAAUUGAACCACUUUUGAAAGCAAAAAGAGUCCUUUACAAUUCAUGUAUUUGCUUUUUAGAAGUUUAGUACACAUAUGCCAGCCUUCCUUUUUCUCCUCCUUCCAGUCAAAAUGAAAAGUAAAUCUGCGACGAAAGAUUGGUUACGUGCAUUCUGCUUUUCACACACAAAUCUCCUCCUUUAUUUUUUUGCCCACAGGAGCUGAGGGAUAUCCUCGUGUCAGAGACAUCUCCGCAGCCCCGGUCCCUCUGCCAUCUCACCCGGGAGUGCAGAAGCCCAGAAUGAGCGCAGGGCAGUGGCUGAGCAGCAGCUGAAUAUUCAGAUUUCACUCUUCAAGCAACCAGAGAUACUUCGAAACCACGCUAAAGAAGGAUAAGCUUGGAGUGCCCAGUCACCGUGGUAACUGCCAGAAAAAUUCUCCUGAAGUUUGAAGAGGUCAGCUAACGGGGUCAACAACUCUGGCCUCUUUCUGAGCUGGGACUGGCAGGCUCCAUCCUGCGGCUGGGGUGUUAGCGCAGGCUGAGCCCUGGGAGGUGGACCAUUCCAGCUCUGAUAUAAAUUUUUUGAGUCAGUUCACGGCCUGGACUCUCCAGGUGGCCUCCAAAAUCGAUUGUGACCUUGUGACCCUGUCUAACGGAGGCAUAGCAUCCACCCUAAGUAAGGAUUUAGCCAGGAACGACAGCUUUCCACUGAGUGUUAUUGGGGACAGUACAAACAGUUUUGGAAGCAAGGAGGUAGGUAUGAGGAGUUGAGGUCAUUAAAGGCAUAUUAAAAAACAAUUUUAAAAAUCCUUGUUAGUGGAAAGUUUUUAUUAGUGUUAUUCCUUAAAUAAAUUGUUCUGGCAAGGACCCUUAUUUUCUUCCCUAACAACAUCAUACCAAGUAUUUUAGCACAUUCACAUAUGAAAAAUUGCACUUUGUAUGUUCCAAACCGAACUAAUAUUUUGUCUACCUCUGGAUUUUGAACUUGUAAAUGAAGCUGGCAGACGUGUGAUAAAAUAGACGUCUGCGAAGCAUGUUUUUUUCCUUAAUAUCAUAGAAACCAGGAGACUGUUUAUUAAAGCGGGUUGUUUAUUUUAGGAAGUAACUUCUCUGAUAUAUGUGUUCUUUUUAGAUUCAAGAAGCUCUUAAUUGGUGACAUUUUAUUAUUAAACUGGGAAAUGAAGUCACAUUUGGAAUAGCACGGAAUGAAAGUAUGAGUCUUACAGGCUGUUUCCUUCACUGGUUUGUAAUACACACAUACAAGACACAGAUUUGGUUACAUGUUUUUGUAGAAGUAAAUUGUCAUCAUUCUAAGAGCAUAUUUAUAGAAAAAAAAAUCUAUUUUUCCUGUAAGAUUUUAAGCAACAAACCAUCAGGGUGAGGCAGGGACAUGGGGAAGCUGCUGCAGAGGUCUGAUUUUGUUAAAACAAAAUCUAUAAGCAUGCCCUUCCGAGCAAGUGGCCUUGUUAUUGUGCUCCUGGGUAACACUGUCCUGGUUCAUUACCACUUCUACAGAACCUCAGCUCUGCACACACUGCUCACAUGAGUAAUCGGUCAUCAUCAUGUAAGUGGAACUACAUGGUGGAGCAAAGUCCAGUUGCCAAGGUGGAAAAUGCUCUCGAACUUUGAGUGACUUUAAAACUGCUCUGAAGGAAGAAAAUUGCAUUAAUGUUUGUUCCCAGUCUUAGAAAAAUUACACAAACUUAUCCCAGCGGGAAUCUUGCCCAAACACUUCUUGUGCCUCGCAGGAGAGGGCCUGGCUCUGACGUCCUUCUUCCCAUCACUCACCUGCGGAGCAGUUCCCCUUGGGUCAGAGGGCUUGUGCAGAGAUGGGGCUAUUAAAUACGACUCAGAAUGAGAGCCUGAGCCCUCUCCACACUAAAUAACAUGGUACCACUGAGAAGUCCCAUUCGUUACAACAGCGAGAGUCUCUGGCUUUUACUUGCGGUAAAACCUUGCUCUGCACAAAGCCCCCAGAACCAGCGGACGCCUGUUGACCAAGGUCCUGCCUCUCAUAGGGCUGGCGUAAUCUGCCCGGUGGGAUUAUCUGAAGAGCAGGAAUUAAAUUUCCACAAAUAAGGAGGGGGGCAAAACUGUGCCCUAAAAUAAACUGGGGCCCAGAUGUGCACGUGCAGAUAUCAAUGACAACUCUCUAUUUAAUCCCAUCCUAAAUACUAACUCUAGUUUGUUGCUGUUGAUUUUUAAUAGGACUAUGCUGAAAACAAUUUAUUCACAUCAGCGGGAGUGUUGAUUCAGGGGAGUGCCUUGUAUGACUAAGCUUGGCAAGACAGAGCUCACAGUCCUCAGAGAGGACCAGCAUAUUUGCUCAGUUUUCAGAAAAAGCAUUUAAAAAUAGGAAUUGUGAGCAGCUGCAAGGUGAAUACAAAUCUGCAGAAUUUUUAGCAUUUUUUUUUUAAAUAUUCAUACCUCUUUUGUAAUAUGAGCCCCAGUUCUACCUGACAAAUGGAAUGGUUUCUAAAACAGAUGGUACAACCAUCGCAUUGGAACUUUUGGACCAAAAUUGCCCCAAACUUUCCCAAAACCUCAGGCUUGGAACAAGGAAUCACUGGCAGAGAGAAUGACAAGGCGUCUCAAGAUCUUUUACUUGCUGCAAAGUCUUUUGAGUUGAUUUCUGUAGAUCCUAUUGAACUUAUAAUCAACUGAAAACCUACAAAUGUCACUUGAAACUGGUCCUGGGUUUGUAUCUUUUGUAACUUCACCUUUUUCUGUUGAUCAUCUCUAGUACAACUGGGAUGUGGAGGGCAUUAGCAGUUGGUGCAGUGGGGCUAUUCCUCUUCCUCAGCCCUUCCAGAUCCAUGAAGUGCUCGCUCCAAAUCGUUUAAUUCCAUGACAUAUUUUCUGAAGUGCAGGCUUCAGUUUUGGCAGAAUGAUAUACAUGAAUGGGCUUAAUACAGCAUUAGAGAUGAACAGUCAGAAUCACCAAGGGUGCUGGACUGGUGGUUCCCAGCCUCUAUCAUAUGGAUCACUGAUAAUCCAUGGGGCCUUGGGAAGUUUGCUGCAGGUGGUCUGUGGAACUGUAUUAAAUAAUAACGUUCAUAGUCUUCAAUUAAAAUUUUGAUGAGAAGAGUGUGUGGCAGUCUGCACUCAAGUCUGAGAACUGAGAGCGAUCUGCCAGCCUGAAAGGUCUGAGGAUGUCUGCUUUGCAUGAAUGUGUCUCAGCCUGUGGUCCAUCAGGCAUUAGAAAGUAUUUUGAGAAUGCUUUCAAAUUAAAUACAUGUGCAGUAAAUGAACAUGCCUUCUCACUCAUGCAAGCGAGCAAGCAAAAGAAAACAGCAAG